This 64-nucleotide transfer RNA is filed under the name Neaxius acanthus. Its description in RNAcentral is "tRNA-His". It matches the Rfam family "tRNA". From Rfam's summary of the family: Transfer RNA (tRNA) molecules are approximately 80 nucleotides in length. Their secondary structure includes four short double-helical elements and three loops (D, anti-codon, and T loops). Further hydrogen bonds mediate the characteristic L-shaped molecular structure. tRNAs have two regions of fundamental functional importance: the anti-codon, which is responsible for specific mRNA codon recognition, and the 3' end, to which the tRNAs corresponding amino acid is attached (by aminoacyl-tRNA synthetases). tRNAs cope with the degeneracy of the genetic code in two manners: having more than one tRNA (with a specific anti-codon) for a particular amino acid; and 'wobble' base-pairing, i.e. permitting non-standard base-pairing at the 3rd anti-codon position. RNAcentral also lists the same sequence under 1 other name. Lineage: Eukaryota; Metazoa; Arthropoda; Malacostraca; Decapoda; Strahlaxiidae. The record is from RNAcentral.
AUUUAAAUAGUUUAAGUAAAACAUCAGUUUGUGGUGCUGGAGAUAUAAGUAGUUAUUUUAAAUA